AGUAGUUUUACUUGGGGAAUAAAAUAAAUUUAAACUUGAGGCAUCCAUCUAUCUAAACAAAAUAUAGAUAACGGCGAAUCCAUACAUAAUUUAGGUGAUGAUAAUACAUUAUCCUCAAAUACGUGAUUACAAGUGAACUUGAGACAUCCAUCUAUCAAGUAGUUUUACGGCGAAUCCAUACAUAAUUUAGGUGAUGAUAAUACAUUAUCCUCAAAUACAUGAUUACAAGUGAUUACAUUACAAUCAACCACAACUUGUACAGGAAGUUGAGGAAGUUACAACAGAGCAAUGUUGUUGUUGUCUUUCAUUUUUCUGAUGGCUAUGCUACUG
This 330-nucleotide long non-coding RNA is filed under the name Citrus x clementina. RNAcentral's name for it is "Citrus clementina (C. clementina) long non-coding RNA (CCLE_LNC003647)". Lineage: Eukaryota; Viridiplantae; Streptophyta; Magnoliopsida; Sapindales; Rutaceae. The record is from RNAcentral.